Pezoporus flaviventris is the source of this 806-nucleotide long non-coding RNA. RefSeq lists it as uncharacterized. The transcript is spliced from 6 exons. The record is from RefSeq and is a predicted model, not a curated record. Lineage: Eukaryota; Metazoa; Chordata; Aves; Psittaciformes; Psittacidae.
GUUAUGACUCUUCCUUUUGCUGUAGACAACUCUGGUACUUUAAUGCUGCUUUGCACUUUUUAUAAUGAAAAGGUUUUGUGGUAACUCUGUUGUGAGCUUGAUUUUCUGUAGUCCAUUCUACCAGCACCAGAUGUGUUCAGAAGUGAGCAUUCAGGCAGAAGCUGCACUACACCUCAUGAACUGCAAAGCAGCUAAGGCACCUGGAGCUUCGAGAUCCAGUGUGUGCAAGUGAAAAGCCUUCUUGGAUAAUUAAGACUGUGCCUGACAUCACAGUUAAAGUUUGCUGAUUUAAAGGUUAUAAAGGAAACUCAGGUCUAAGGGACAGAGCCAUCCCCAGAGGACAGCUCAUGGCACAUCUGUCUGUUCCCUGCUCUCGAGUCACCUUUUGCGGAAGCCAACUGCUCUCCAUUGACUGCCCAGGAAGUCUAAAAGUAGGAGCCUUUAAAGCCAAAUCACCUCAAUGCUCUCACAGGGUCAUCAGUUCUCCUGCCUCCAGGACCUGCCAACUGCUCCUCUACAGAUAACAAUGCCAUCUCUAGUGUGCCACUUCACUCGAAGCAGCGUGAAAGAUGCUUCUUCGUCUCUUAAGAGAAGGCUCUUCAGUUUUUGCCACUCAACACCAUUUUCUUUAGAUCAGGAGAACUGAUGUCCUCACCCAGAUGCAGCAUCAGCCACACACCUAUCAGAACAUCUCCCAGCAUAGCUGGAAAAACCAGCCAUGCUGGCUGUGCUUACUGCUACUACCACUCCCCACCAGCUCCGAGCUACACCAGGGCACCACAAUCAGGCUUGGAUAAGGUAAUUAC